UUCUGUAUAAUUUUUGCCCCAUUGAAAUACUUCUCAACCAUCCUAUUUGAUACACCCUCGUCAAAAAUAAAGUCAUACCUAUUUGACACACAAUUCAAUUCAGUUAUGCUAGCAAAUUCCCUGGGAGUAAAAUUAAGAAAGGUCCCAUUAGCAUAAAUCAGAAUCCCGGAAAAAGAACUACCCUUCACCUUAAGCGUCAUAACGUAUCUACACAACUGUGCUUGCACUACACAUUGUUGCUUCUUCAUAAAAUAACCAAAAAUAUUUUUGUCGCAAAAGUUUUUAAACUGUUCCUUGUUUAAAAUUGUGUGUAUGCUUUCAU
RNAcentral lists this long non-coding RNA (322 nucleotides) under Capsicum annuum. RNAcentral describes it as "long non-coding RNA (CANN_LNC009855)". Lineage: Eukaryota; Viridiplantae; Streptophyta; Magnoliopsida; Solanales; Solanaceae. The record is from RNAcentral.